This 484-nucleotide ribosomal RNA is filed under the name uncultured bacterium. RNAcentral describes it as "partial 16S ribosomal RNA". It matches the Rfam family "Bacterial small subunit ribosomal RNA", at positions 36 to 507 of the family's 1533-position model. The record is from RNAcentral.
CUUUCCCUCUGUCGGCAGGCCUAACACAUGCAAGUCGAGCGGAUGAAGGGAGCUUGCUCCUGGAUUCAGCGGCGGACGGGUGAGUAAUGCCUAGGAAUCUGCCUGGUAGUGGGGGAUAACGUCCGGAAACGGGCGCUAAUACCGCAUACGUCCUGAGGGAGAAAGUGGGGGAUCUUCGGACCUCACGCUAUCAGAUGAGCCUAGGUCGGAUUAGCUAGUUGGUGGGGUAAAGGCCUACCAAGGCGACGAUCCGUAACUGGUCUGAGAGGAUGAUCAGUCACACUGGAACUGAGACACGGUCCAGACUCCUACGGGAGGCAGCAGUGGGGAAUAUUGGACAAUGGGCGAAAGCCUGAUCCAGCCAUGCCGCGUGCGUGAAGAAGGUCUUCGGAUUGUAAAGCACUUUAAGUUGGGAGGAAGGGCAGUAAGUUAAUACCUUGCUGUUUUGACGUUACCAACAGAAUAAGCACCGGCUAACUUCGUG